This 247-nucleotide ribosomal RNA is filed under the name uncultured bacterium. Its description in RNAcentral is "partial 16S ribosomal RNA". It matches the Rfam family "Bacterial small subunit ribosomal RNA", at positions 523 to 769 of the family's 1533-position model. The record is from RNAcentral.
AUACGGAGGAUGCGAGCGUUAUCCGGAUUUAUUGGGUUUAAAGGGUGCGUAGGCGGAAUAAUAAGUCAGUGGUGAAACCCUGCAGCUUAACUGUAGACUUGCCAUUGAUACUGUUUUUCUUGAGUAUGGUCAAGGCAGGCGGAAUGUGUAAUGUAGCGGUGAAAUGCUUAGAUAUUACACAGAACACCGAUAGCGAAGGCAGCUUGCUGGGCCGUUACUGACGCUGAUGCACGAAAGCGUGGGGAUC